UGAUGUUACUUCAACUUCUACUUUUUUUAUGUUCCUAAAGUAAAGUUACAUUGUUAAUUUGUAUUUUAUUAAAGAACUCAAAUCCAUUCACACGUUAAUUGUUCAACAAACAAUAAUCGCUGAACAUACAAACUGUAUACAGUAAUGCAACGAUCAUCUUUUCCUUAAUCAGUUACAUAGUAAAGGACAAAAGAUUAGUUCGUGUUGAAGGAGAACGUACGUUUCUAUGUAUAUAUAUAAUAACAUAUUAGGUAAGCAAUGUCUUUAAUAAAUUUUUUUCUCUAUACAACUUUCUUUUUUCGUAUUUUCUAGCGAAUUAAAUAUUGAAUAAACGUUCGUUUUUAUGUGUAUAAUAUCCAUGUGUACAGUGGUGUACCAAGAGUUUACACCAUUUUACUUCCUUAGCACCCCUCAAAAUCAAUUUUUCAGCAUUGAAUACUAAUUAGAUAUCUACCUAGUGUAAGGACA
Molecule: non-coding RNA, 468 nt
Organism: Cinara cedri
Lineage: Eukaryota; Metazoa; Arthropoda; Insecta; Hemiptera; Aphididae
Source: the annotation of a GenBank genome assembly